Molecule: ribosomal RNA, 247 nt
Filed under: uncultured bacterium
Lineage: Bacteria
Description: partial 16S ribosomal RNA
Rfam family: Bacterial small subunit ribosomal RNA
Source: RNAcentral
AUACGUAGGGGGCGAGCGUUGUCCGGAAUUACUGGGCGUAAAGGGUGCGUAGGCGGUUGCCUAAGUCAGAUGUGAAAUCCCCGGGCUUAACUCGGGUGGUGCAUUUGAAACUGGGUUACUAGAGUGCAGGAGAGGGAAGCGGAAUUCCUAGUGUAGCGGUGAAAUGCGUAGAUAUCUGGAGGAACAUCAGUGGCGAAGGCGGCCACCUGGACCGAGACUGACACUGAGGUGCGAAAGCGUGGGUAGC